UGCGAGCAAUCGUGAUAAGGGAACUCCGAGUGCCCGUAAAAUCGGGCUGUCCGCCAGUGUAAAUAACUGGUGAAGAAAGGGCCGGGCAAGACCGGUGCCAGCCGCCGCGGUAAUACCGGCGGCUCGAGUGGUGGCCACUAUUACUGGGCUUAAAGCGUUCGUAGCUGGUCUGUUAAGUCUCUGGGGAAAUCUUCCGGCUUAACCGGAAGGCGUCUCAGGGAUACUGGCAG
This 230-nucleotide ribosomal RNA is filed under the name uncultured Methanobacterium sp. RNAcentral's name for it is "partial 16S ribosomal RNA". It matches the Rfam family "Archaeal small subunit ribosomal RNA", at positions 356 to 590 of the family's 1478-position model. The record is from RNAcentral. Lineage: Archaea; Methanobacteriati; Methanobacteriota; Methanobacteria; Methanobacteriales; Methanobacteriaceae.